Long non-coding RNA from Prionailurus viverrinus (fishing cat), 2092 nucleotides. RefSeq lists it as uncharacterized. Lineage: Eukaryota; Metazoa; Chordata; Mammalia; Carnivora; Felidae. The record is from RefSeq and is a predicted model, not a curated record. The transcript is spliced from 3 exons.
UCAGGAGCACACCCACCGCUCCUCUCCUUCCGGGGGCUUCUGAAAAACACACGGGCCAAGCACCGUUGGUGAGGAUGGGACGUGGUGUAGCUGCCGGGGAAAAUGGCGCAGCGGUUCCUCGGAAAAUUCGGAACGGAAUUGCUGUGCGAGCCGGCAACCCCACCUCUCGGCGUAUCCCCCCGAAAGCAGGGACUCGGGGGGAUCUGUGCGCACCCACGUUCACAGCAGCCUUAUUCGCAACAGCCGACAGGUGGAAGCGACCCGAAUGUCCGUCAACGGAGGAGCAGGCGAACAAGCUGCGGUUACCUGGAAAUGGGAGGACGGUUCAUGACGAAAACUGAGCUCAUAAGGUGGGGAUUUGCAUGAAGCGUUCUUUGACCUCGUUUCUGGGGAGGAGGCUCAACGCCCAGCGUGGGGCUUGAACUCACGACCUCGAUGUCAAAAGUGGCAUGCUCCACCGACUGAGCCAGCCAGGAGCCCCACCCGGUAGCCUUUAUUACAACCAAUUUCCUGAUUCUGGGGCAGCCGGGAAGGCUGUGUCCCAGACUGCGCUCGUGGACCCAAGCCAGUCUGUUCAAGAGAAACUCGGUCCUUUGUGAGAGGUGGAGACUCUAAGCGGACUCCUUCCAGAAAGCACGGGAACCCCCAGUGACGGCCUGAAGUGACUAAAACACGGCCAGGAGGCACAUCCCUGCCCCAGCCCUCCCUAGGCAAACUUCGUGUUCAACGCACCUGAGAGUCAGGUAAAUACCGAUAGCAGGUUAAAUACGAGUUGAACCAUUAGAACAGAAAAUACAGCUGCCGAGCAGCCCAGAGAGGCUGCGGGUUCCGGGAGGGGCAGGCCCAGCACUGACUGAGCUCGCCGCCGGGCACAGGUCGUUCGCUUCUGUAGGAACCACUGAUCUGGACACCCGCCUCCCCCCCUCUGUCUCUCUGCCGCUGGCCCGCGUGUUUGUCGCGCCCACGUGGGUGUCGCAUGGCGCACAGUUCCGGGGAAGGCUCCCGAACGCUCCUGAGGAGAAGCCACUGAGGAGUUAUGCACAGCUCAGCCCCGGACGGAGCACGCGAACCUGAUGAGCGGAGCUGUGGACAACCCCAGCAACCUGACGGGGGCCCCCGAGCAAGGGGCUUCGAGGCCAAGUUUGAUACUGAAAGAGAAAGCCGGCUGACAGAGGCACACGUGACACCCGAGGAUGCCUGCAGGGUGACAUCCACCCGUCUGAGCUGCUCUGCCGUCCAGCACCCACCGGGAGGGCCAGUACGCAGGCAGGCCUCAGUUUGCCCAUCUGUAAGAUGGGGACCCAGCCGCGCUGCAGGGAGAGCAAAGGAGGCUGUGCCGCCAGGGGCAGGGGCCGCGUGAGCCGUCCGCAAGGGUCCUGGGGCCACCCUCCCAGCAGGUGCUCACAGUUAAGAAACACAGACUUAGACUGUAUCUCUUCCUGCUUCAAACCCUCCACGGUCCCGGGAACCUCCCCACGCUCAGCACCCACGCUCCUUCUCUCAAAGGCCACGUGAGCCUCCUGUUGCUGCUGUGACAAAUCACCGCGAGCCCAGGGCUGAAAACGACACACGGUCCCAGGGCCGAAGUCCAACCCGGCCUCACCGGGCUGCAGGUGUCCACAGGACGGAACUCCUUCCGGAGGCUCCAGGAGAGAAUCCGGGUCCUUGUCUGUUCCGGCUCCUGGGGGCAGAGGCCUGGGGUGGAGGGCAUGGAGUCUCCACAGAAGCACGGUGAAUAGAGAAGAGUCGAGCUCUGGGCUCCUGGGGCCCUCGCUGGAGGACUUGUCGCGUUCUCCGCUCCCCAUCAGAGUGGCUCUCCGAGAGCGGCCGGGUCGGCCUGGUGCGCCAGCUCACGCGGCCUUGGAGUCCUUGCUCAUCCCUCAGAACGCCGAGUGUCACCUUAUGGCCGUUAACCCAGGUGGGCUGCCUGCAGGCGGGGGGCUGGCAACAUGGGUUUUGAAACCCCAGUCCCAUUCGGCAACCACAGAGUGCUUUAAUCUGACUUUAAUUAGGUCAGAUUUAAAAAUUUUAAUGACAGGGGGUGCCUGGAGGGCUCAGUCGGUUAAGCAUCGACUUUGGCUCAGGUCACGAU